GAGCUGUUAGUCCACAUCCUGAGAAGUCCCUUCAGACGCUCCAACUGUACAGCACAGCAGCUGUAAAAUCUCUGGGUAAAGCAAUUGAACGUGGAUGGUGAAGGAUGCCUAGGAAGAAGAGAAGUGGAUUGUUUGCCAGGAUCCAUCAAAUGGUCAGUGACCGGACUGGGUGGUCCGGGGCGUGACGUCUGAGACUAAGACUAAGAAGAUGCAGAACCUGUAAUGUAUAUUGGUACUCACUCUUCACUGCUGACGCCCAUGAGACCUGGAACAGACAAGAGGAAGAAAACAGACCAGAAAAGACAUCAGACAGUCCAUCUUAAAUGUUUUAUCCCUUUGUUCUUUAACAAUACCACCUGCAGACUGUGCCGGCUACCUGAAGAGCAACCACCAUCUUCCUCUCUGUCUCA
Cyprinus carpio carpio is the source of this 410-nucleotide long non-coding RNA. Lineage: Eukaryota; Metazoa; Chordata; Actinopteri; Cypriniformes; Cyprinidae. The record is from Ensembl.